GAUGAACGCUAGCGGGAGGCCUAAUACAUGCAAGUCGAGCGGUAGAGUGACUUCGGUUGCUUGAGAGCGGCGCACGGGUGAGUAACGCGUACAUGACCUACCUUUAAGACUGGGAUAGCCCUGGGAAACUGGGAUUAAUACCGGAUGUGAUAAUACGUAUAGAGAUGUAUUAUUAAAGUUGAGGCGCUUAGAGAUGGAUGUGCGUCUGAUUAGCUAGUUGGUAGGGUAACGGCCUACCAAGGCGACGAUCAGUAGGGGGCGUGAGAGCGUGGCCCCCCACACGGGUACUGAGACACGGACCCGACUCCUACGGGAGGCAGCAGUAAGGAAUAUUGGUCAAUGGACGGAAGUCUGAACCAGCCAUCCCGCGUGCAGGAUGACUGCCCUAUGGGUUGUAAACUGCUUUUAGCAGAGACGAAACGCCUUCAUUUUAUGAGGGUCUGACGGUAUCUGCAGAAUAAGCACCGGCUAACUCCGUGCCAGCAGCCGCGGU
This 493-nucleotide ribosomal RNA is filed under the name uncultured bacterium. Its description in RNAcentral is "bacterial SSU rRNA". It matches the Rfam family "Bacterial small subunit ribosomal RNA", at positions 28 to 521 of the family's 1533-position model. The record is from RNAcentral.